AUCAGCCUUUCGGGUGCGAUUCUGUGGGGUUUGAGGAGCUUAACACCUUCAUGCUUUGCAUAUUCGUGCUCUUGGGUGUACUUGCCCGUGUGGUUGGUUAACAUCAAUUUUGGUGGUCAUAAAAUGACUGGAGGAAUGUAGCUUCGAUCUUGUAUUGAAGUGUUAUAGCCUUCGGUAGAUGUGAUGAUCGAGAUUGAGGAUUGCAACGGAUACCCUUCGGGGCUACCUGUCUGAUCUCUGAUCGUUGCUCUGGUGCCGAAAGCUUGCUUACGGUUAUCAAAGUCGAUGGUCAAUAGGUUAGAACGGGUUAAAUUCGUUAAGGAUGUUAACGUAAUGGCUUU
This 341-nucleotide ribosomal RNA is filed under the name uncultured Glomeromycotina. RNAcentral's name for it is "eukaryotic LSU rRNA". The record is from RNAcentral. Lineage: Eukaryota; Fungi; Glomeromycota.